RNAcentral lists this ribosomal RNA (253 nucleotides) under uncultured bacterium. RNAcentral's name for it is "partial 16S ribosomal RNA". It matches the Rfam family "Bacterial small subunit ribosomal RNA", at positions 524 to 776 of the family's 1533-position model. The record is from RNAcentral.
UACGUAGGGUGCAAGCGUUAUUCGGAAUUACUGGGCGUAAAGGGCUCGUAGGCGGCUUGGCGCGUCGUUUGUGAAAACCCGGGGCUCAACUUCGGGCUUGCAGGCGAUACGGGCAGACUUGAGUGUUUCAGGGGAGACUGGAAUUCCUGGUGUAGCGGUGAAAUGCGCAGAUAUCAGGAGGAACACCGGUGGCGAAGGCGCUCAUCUGGCCCAAUACUGACGCUGAAGCGCGAAAGCUAGGGGAGCAAACGGG